UUCGUCCUUAGUUACCAGCACGGUUAUGGUGGGCACUCUAAGGAGACUGCCGGUGACAAACCGGAGGAAGGUGGGGAUGACGUCAAGUCAUCAUGGCCCUUACGGCCUGGGCUACACACGUGCUACAAUGGUCGGUACAAAGGGUUGCCAAGCCGCGAGGUGGAGCUAAUCCCAAUAAAACCGAUCGUAGUCCGGAUCGCAGUCUGCAACUCGACUGCGUGAAGUCGGAAUCGCUAGUAAUCGUGAAUCAGAAUGUCACGGUGAAUACGUUCCCGGGCCUU
This 281-nucleotide ribosomal RNA is filed under the name uncultured Pseudomonas sp. Its description in RNAcentral is "partial 16S ribosomal RNA". It matches the Rfam family "Bacterial small subunit ribosomal RNA", at positions 1104 to 1382 of the family's 1533-position model. Lineage: Bacteria; Pseudomonadati; Pseudomonadota; Gammaproteobacteria; Pseudomonadales; Pseudomonadaceae. The record is from RNAcentral.